GAUGAACGCUGGCGGCGUGCCUAAUACAUGCAAGUCGAGCGAACAGACGAGGAGCUUGCUCCUCUGACGUUAGCGGCGGACGGGUGAGUAACACGUGGAUAACCUACCUAUAAGACUGGGAUAACUUCGGGAAACCGGAGCUAAUACCGGAUAAUAUAUUGAACCGCAUGGUUCAAUAGUGAAAGACGGUUUUGCUGUCACUUAUAGAUGGAUCCGCGCCGCAUUAGCUAGUUGGUAAGGUAACGGCUUACCAAGGCGACGAUGCGUAGCCGACCUGAGAGGGUGAUCGGCCACACGGGAACUGAGACACGGUCCAGACCCCUACGGGAGGCAGCAGUAGGGAAUCUUCCGCAAUGGGCGAAAGCCUGACGGAGCAACGCCGCGUGAGUGAUGAAGGUCUUCGGAUCGUAAAACUCUGUUAUUAGGGAAGAACAAAUGUGUAAGUAACUAUGCACGUCUUGACGGUACCUAAUCAGAAAGCCACGGCUAACUACGUG
RNAcentral lists this ribosomal RNA (497 nucleotides) under uncultured bacterium. RNAcentral's name for it is "partial 16S ribosomal RNA". It matches the Rfam family "Bacterial small subunit ribosomal RNA", at positions 28 to 507 of the family's 1533-position model. The record is from RNAcentral.